AGAAUGCGUGCGUGCCUCAUAUUAUGGGACGGAGGGAGUAGAUAAGUAUAUACAACCCAAAAGCUACAAAGGAACAAUAAUACCUUUAUCUAGACCAAUCCGCAUCCAACGGGUGCAAGGAAGAGGUGGAGCCAAAGUUCGGACCACUCGUUCGAAUAUUUCACACGCGUCAAUAUCACCUAUACACUGUUGAAUGGAGUGAGAGACUGAGAGUGACAUAGUGCUAACAAAGCUUAGGCCCUCCUCCAGCUACUCUCGAUCUUUUUUGCGUACGUAGUAGUAAAACAGAGACCAGCUAGCUAGCUGGCUGUACAUAUUUGGCGUUGGUCUUACUUAAAUACGUACACCAAUCCAGACACAAGAGAUUCGCUAAUGUAAUUUCUCUGAACGUCAUAACGUUACGUACGGGUAGUGACAAAGUACUGACUGUCA
Molecule: long non-coding RNA, 432 nt
Filed under: Brachypodium distachyon (stiff brome)
Lineage: Eukaryota; Viridiplantae; Streptophyta; Magnoliopsida; Poales; Poaceae
Description: long non-coding RNA (BDIS_LNC001837)
Source: RNAcentral